Molecule: ribosomal RNA, 395 nt
Filed under: uncultured bacterium
Lineage: Bacteria
Description: bacterial SSU rRNA
Rfam family: Bacterial small subunit ribosomal RNA
Source: RNAcentral
GGACGAACGCUGGCGGCGUGCUUCAUACAUGCAAGUCGAGCGGGGUCCAUCCAGUGGCAACACUGGUGAAGACCUAGCGGCGAACGGGUGAGUAACACGUGAGGAACCUGCCCCAGAGACCGGGAUAACUCUCCGAAAGGAGAGCUAAUACCGGAUGUCCCCAUCGGAUCGCAUGGUCUGAUGAGGAAAUGGAUUCCGCUCUGGGAGGGCCUCGCGGCCUANCAGCUUGUUGGUGAGGUAACGGCUCACCAAGGCAUCGACGGGUAGCUGGUCUGAGAGGACGGUCAGCCACACUGGGACUGAGACACGGCCCAGACUCCUACGGGAGGCAGCAGUGGGAAUAUUGGGCAAUGGGCGCAAGCCUGACCCAGCCCAUGCCGCGUGAGUGAUGAAGG